UGCAGAAGGUCAUUAUUUUAUUUAAAUGA
This 29-nucleotide ribosomal RNA is filed under the name Uromyces vignae. RNAcentral describes it as "partial 18S rRNA". Lineage: Eukaryota; Fungi; Basidiomycota; Pucciniomycetes; Pucciniales; Pucciniaceae. The record is from RNAcentral.